GACGAACCGUGCGAACGUUGUUCGGAAUCACUGGGCUUAAAGGGCGCGUAGGCGGGUGACCAAGUCCGGGGUGAAAUCUUUCGGCUUAACCGGAAAAGUGCCUUGGAUACUGGUCGCCUGGAGGGAGGUAGGGGCAUGUGGAACUUCCGGUGGAGCGGUGAAAUGCGUUGAUAUCGGAAGGAACACCUAUAGCGAAGGCAGCUUGCUGGGACGAUACUGACGCUAAGGCUCGAAAGCGUGGGGAGCGAACAGG
RNAcentral lists this ribosomal RNA (253 nucleotides) under uncultured bacterium. RNAcentral's name for it is "partial 16S ribosomal RNA". It matches the Rfam family "Bacterial small subunit ribosomal RNA", at positions 524 to 776 of the family's 1533-position model. The record is from RNAcentral.